Schizosaccharomyces pombe (fission yeast) is the source of this 1368-nucleotide non-coding RNA. The record is from the annotation of a GenBank genome assembly. NCBI's taxonomy places the organism in Eukaryota, Fungi, Ascomycota, Schizosaccharomycetes, Schizosaccharomycetales, Schizosaccharomycetaceae.
UUUAUACUCUCAUAAGCAUCAAAGGGCAUUGGGAACAUACGAGCAAGCAUUUGGCAAUUUGGUAGUUCAUCUUCCACAUCAUCUAAAUAGGCUAGCGCCUUCAUAAACUUAGGCGUAUUGGCUUCAGUUGAAGGUACCUGAAGGGAAUUAGCUAGUCUCGAACACGUCAAUUUGAGAUAUGUACCAAGAUUUGGACUUUUUCUGAAUCGCAAAAAGCCAAUUUUCCAUCGCAAGAACAAGUACAGCUAUACAAGCUUGAUGGAAGAAAAUCCAAUGCUACAUCCUUUCCCAUUGUAAGAAAGACGACGAGCGAUGUUGAAGCCAGGUGAACAAUUCCAUCAAAUGCGUUAAAGUUCAGUGCCUUGCGCAAUGCUAGUUGAGAAAGACUUGCAUGAAAAAUCCACUAAAAUAGCUGUAAACAAGAUGAUAUUGGACUAGAAUUUUGCUUCAUCUUAUAAAACUUAGCAACAAUGCGAUGGUGUUAUCGGUCCGCUUUACUGUCUGCAAACACUGACACCUGAAACAACUAAAACCAACAGGUAUAUACAGUGAAGAACAAAAAGAGAGAAAAAGGAAAACCACUCUUUAUAACUCUCUUGACUCCAACAGGAUCCCGAAAAAAGUUACCCUAUAUAAAACGAUAAUUGUGAAUUUUAGAAAAUGUACAGUUUACUCAAGGUCAGCUUCAUCACGUAGCCGUUUUAAAGGACCUCUGCUGUCAUUUUCGGCGACGAUUCUUUCAAUAAUCUUACUUUUCGAAUGAGCGUAUUGAAUUUUCUUAUUAAAGAUGUUAGUCAAUCGUUUUUGUUUUUUUAUGGGGAUUAAUGAGAAAGCUCAUUUCACAGCAUACCAUUUCCUUUCCGAAGAAUAUGAAAUUUUUUAAGGCCUUCAUCGCAAUUGCAGCGGCAGAGGGAUCAAAGAAUACAACAUGAGCUUGACCUCUCAUCUUGGGAGUUUUCAACGCGACAAUAUCAACCACGGUCCCAUAAGUGGAGAAUAGCAUAUAUAGUGCUGUUCUUAAAUCAUUUUUAUUAAUUUUAUCAUUCAAAUUAUUCACAUAAAGUGUAUUUUGAUUCAUUUUCGCCCUAGUUUGGUGUUUUGCAAAUGCUGAACUCUUUACCUUAUAUUUUUACCUGCAAACACUGCGCGCUAACAAUCGCUAUGAGUUAACUUAUUGAAUGGAUUGUUGAAAAGGCUCGUCUUAAUUACAUUAAAAUGCUAAAGCUUUUACAUUUUUAAUUUAUCUUUUAAGGCUAUAAAUAUCCAUAUUUAAUUUUCCGGAACGAAAUAUGUUUAUUUGCAAUUCUACGACCAUUGAACGCUAGUCAUCUGAAUUAUGAUUCAAGUCACAAUUAUUUUUAGAGAUCC